UACGUGCUCCGGGGUCGGUGUAAUUCCGAACCGGCGGUGAUAGUCCGCGACCCGCCCGUUUCCUCGCAUCCGCGAGGAGGGGACGGUUGAGCCGGUGGAAUUCCGGGACCGACAGUCAAAGUCUGGAUGGGAGAAGCACGAA
Molecule: non-coding RNA, 142 nt
Filed under: Arthrobacter sp.
Lineage: Bacteria; Bacillati; Actinomycetota; Actinomycetes; Micrococcales; Micrococcaceae
Also listed under: 1 other name
Description: FMN sequence
Rfam family: FMN riboswitch aptamer (RFN element)
About the family: The RFN element is a highly conserved domain that is found frequently in the 5'-untranslated regions of prokaryotic mRNAs that encode for flavin mononucleotide (FMN) biosynthesis and transport proteins. This element is a metabolite-dependent riboswitch that directly binds FMN in the absence of proteins.
Source: RNAcentral